GAUGAACGCUGGCGGCGUGCCUAAUACAUGCAAGUCGAGCGAACAGACGAGGAGCUUGCUCCUCUGACGUUAGCGGCGGACGGGUGAGUAACACGUGGAUAACCUACCUAUAAGACUGGGAUAACUUCGGGAAACCGGAGCUAAUACCGGAUAAUAUAUUGAACCGCAUGGUUCAAUAGUGAAAGACGGUUUUGCUGUCACUUAUAGAUGGAUCCGCGCCGCAUUAGUUAGUUGGUAAGGUAACGGGUUACCAAGGCAACGAUGCGUAGCCGACCUGGGAGGGGGAUCGGCCACCUGGGAGCUGGGCCACGCUCCAGAGUCCUACGGGAGGCAGCAGUAGGGAAUCUGCCGCAAUGGGCGAAAGCCUGACGGAGCAACGCCGCGUGAGUGAUGAAGGUCUUCGGAUCGUAAAACUCUGUUAUGGGGGAAGAACAAAUGUGUAAGUAACUAUGCACGUCUUGACGGUACCUAAUCAGAAAGCCACGGCUAACUACGUG
This 497-nucleotide ribosomal RNA is filed under the name uncultured bacterium. RNAcentral describes it as "partial 16S ribosomal RNA". It matches the Rfam family "Bacterial small subunit ribosomal RNA", at positions 28 to 507 of the family's 1533-position model. The record is from RNAcentral.